RNAcentral lists this ribosomal RNA (503 nucleotides) under uncultured bacterium. RNAcentral describes it as "bacterial SSU rRNA". It matches the Rfam family "Bacterial small subunit ribosomal RNA", at positions 8 to 518 of the family's 1533-position model. The record is from RNAcentral.
AGAGUUUGAUCCUGGCUCAGGAUGAACGCUGGCGGCGUGCCUAACACGAUGCAAGUCGAACGAAGCACUCGAAGCUUGCUUUGGGUGACUUAGUGGCGGACGGGUGAGUAAUGCGUGAGCAACCUGCCUUUCAGAGGGGGACAACAGUUGGAAACGACUGCUAAUACCGCAUAACGCAGCGGGAGGCAUCUUCCUGCUGCCAAAGGAGCAAUCCGCUGAAAGAUGGGCUCACGUCUGAUUAGCUUGUUGGUGGGGUAACGGCUCACCAAGGCUGCGAUCAGUAGCCGGACUGAGAGGUUGAACGGCCACAUUGGGACUGAGAUACGGCCCAGACUCCUACGGGAGGCAGCAGGUGGGGAAUAUUGGGCAAUGGGCGAAAGCCUCGACCCAGCAACGCCGCGUGAAGGAAGAAGGUCUUCGGAUUGUAAACUUCUUUUAUGAGGGACGAAGGACGUGACGGUACCUCAUGAAUAAGCCACGGCUAACUACGUGCCAGCCGCAGC